UCCAUCGCGAGGUGGAAUCUGAAGGAAGCCGCAGGCAAAGCGCUGGCCUGACGAACAGAAAUCGCAUAUGAGGCGUGCAAGCUGGAUGAGGAGGCCAAUAUCUUCGAAGUCCGAUACCUGUACGGAAAGCUUGUGCGUAGAUGCGGCGGGCCUAAGCGUGAAGGUGAGAGCG
Molecule: non-coding RNA, 172 nt
Organism: Deltaproteobacteria bacterium
Lineage: Bacteria; Pseudomonadati; Myxococcota; Myxococcia
Source: Rfam